UACGUAGGUGGCAAGCGUUGUCCGGAUUUAUUGGGUUUAAAGGGUGCGUAGGCGGUUCCAUAAGUCAGUGGUGAAAUACGGCAGCUCAACUGUCGAGGUGCCAUUGAUACUGCGGAACUUGAGUACUGAUGAGGUAGGCGGAAUUGACGAUGUAGCGGUGAAAUGCUUAGAUAUCGUCAAGAACACCGAUAGCGAAGGCAGCUUACCAAGGAGUAACUGACGCUGAGGCACGAAAGUGCGGGGAUCAAACAGG
This 253-nucleotide ribosomal RNA is filed under the name uncultured bacterium. RNAcentral describes it as "partial 16S ribosomal RNA". It matches the Rfam family "Bacterial small subunit ribosomal RNA", at positions 524 to 776 of the family's 1533-position model. The record is from RNAcentral.